This 1558-nucleotide ribosomal RNA is filed under the name Salmonella enterica subsp. enterica serovar Typhimurium. RNAcentral describes it as "bacterial LSU rRNA". It matches the Rfam family "Bacterial large subunit ribosomal RNA", at positions 1271 to 2812 of the family's 2925-position model. Lineage: Bacteria; Pseudomonadati; Pseudomonadota; Gammaproteobacteria; Enterobacterales; Enterobacteriaceae. The record is from RNAcentral.
UGCUGGAGGUAUCAGAAGUGCGAAUGCUGACAUAAGUAACGAUAAAGCGGGUGAAAAGCCCGCUCGCCGGAAGACCAAGGGUUCCUGUCCAACGUUAAUCGGGGCAGGGUGAGUCGACCCCUAAGGCGAGGCCGAAAGGCGUAGUCGAUGGGAAACGGGUUAAUAUUCCCGUACUUGGUGUUACUGCGAAGGGGGGACGGAGAAGGCUAUGUUGGCCGGGCGACGGUUGUCCCGGUUUAAGCGUGUAGGUGUGUGUUCCAGGUAAAUCCGGUUCACUUUAACACUGAGGCGUGACGACGAGGCACUACGGUGCUGAAGCAACAAAUGCCCUGCUUCCAGGAAAAGCCUCUAAGCAUCAGGUAACAUCAAAUCGUACCCCAAACCGACACAGGUGGUCAGGUAGAGAAUACCAAGGCGCUUGAGAGAACUCGGGUGAAGGAACUAGGCAAAAUGGUGCCGUAACUUCGGGAGAAGGCACGCUGACACGUAGGUGAAGUGAUUUACUCACGGAGCUGAAGUCAGUCGAAGAUACCAGCUGGCUGCAACUGUUUAUUAAAAACACAGCACUGUGCAAACACGAAAGUGGACGUAUACGGUGUGACGCCUGCCCGGUGCCGGAAGGUUAAUUGAUGGGGUCAGCGCAAGCGAAGCUCCUGAUCGAAGCCCCGGUAAACGGCGGCCGUAACUAUAACGGUCCUAAGGUAGCGAAAUUCCUUGUCGGGUAAGUUCCGACCUGCACGAAUGGCGUAAUGAUGGCCAGGCUGUCUCCACCCGAGACUCAGUGAAAUUGAACUCGCUGUGAAGAUGCAGUGUACCCGCGGCAAGACGGAAAGACCCCGUGAACCUUUACUAUAGCUUGACACUGAACAUUGAGCCUUGAUGUGUAGGAUAGGUGGGAGGCUUUGAAGUGUGGACGCCAGUCUGCAUGGAGCCGACCUUGAAAUACCACCCUUUAAUGUUUGAUGUUCUAACGUGGACCCGUAAUCCGGGUUGCGGACAGUGUCUGGUGGGUAGUUUGACUGGGGCGGUCUCCUCCUAAAGAGUAACGGAGGAGCACGAAGGUUGGCUAAUCCUGGUCGGACAUCAGGAGGUUAGUGCAAUGGCAUAAGCCAGCUUGACUGCGAGCGUGACGGCGCGAGCAGGUGCGAAAGCAGGUCAUAGUGAUCCGGUGGUUCUGAAUGGAAGGGCCAUCGCUCAACGGAUAAAAGGUACUCCGGGGAUAACAGGCUGAUACCGCCCAAGAGUUCAUAUCGACGGCGGUGUUUGGCACCUCGAUGUCGGCUCAUCACAUCCUGGGGCUGAAGUAGGUCCCAAGGGUAUGGCUGUUCGCCAUUUAAAGUGGUACGCGAGCUGGGUUUAGAACGUCGUGAGACAGUUCGGUCCCUAUCUGCCGUGGGCGCUGGAGAACUGAGGGGGGCUGCUCCUAGUACGAGAGGACCGGAGUGGACGCAUCACUGGUGUUCGGGUUGUCAUGCCAAUGGCACUGCCCGGUAGCUAAAUGCGGAAGAGAUAAGUGCUGAAAGCAUCUAAGCACGAAACUUGCCCCGAGAUGAGUUCU